Molecule: non-coding RNA, 198 nt
Filed under: Haloplasma contractile
Lineage: Bacteria; Bacillati; Mycoplasmatota; Mollicutes; Haloplasmatales; Haloplasmataceae
Also listed under: 1 other name
Description: GlcN6P sequence
Rfam family: glmS glucosamine-6-phosphate activated ribozyme aptamer
About the family: This entry contains a glucosamine-6-phosphate activated ribozyme that is found in the mRNA for GlmS. GlmS is an enzyme that uses fructose-6-phosphate and glutamine to generate glucosamine-6-phosphate.
Source: RNAcentral
UAUAAAAAUAAAGCGCCAGGACUACAUAUCUAAUAGAGUUAUUUUAAUGAUACAUGAAUAACUGAAAGUGUGAUUGUAGUUGACGAGGAGAAGGUUGAUCGAAUUUUCGGCGGAUGCCUUCUAGUGUUCAUCCAUACUAAAAGCUAUUUAACAAAACUGUUAGGAGACUAAUAGUACAAAAAAAUAGCAGGAUGUGGG